AUUGAACGCUGGCGGCAGGCCUAACACAUGCAAGUCGAGCGGAGGAAGGGAGCUUGCUCCUGGAUUCAGCGGCGGACGGGUGAGUAAUGCCUAGGAAUCUGCCUGGUAGUGGGGGAUAACGUCCGGAAACGGGCGCUAAUACCGCAUACGUCCUGAGGGCGAACGUGGGGGAUCUUCGGACCUCACGCUAUCAGAUGAGCCUAGGUCGGAUUAGCUAGUUGGUGGGGUAAAGGCCUACCAAGGCGACGAUCCGUAACUGGUCUGAGAGGAUGAUCAGUCACACUGGAACUGAGACACGGUCCAGACUCCUACGGGAGGCAGCAGUGGGGAAUAUUGGACAAUGGGCGAAAGCCUGAUCCAGCCAUGCCGCGUGUGUGAAGAAGGUCUUCGGAUUGUAAAGCACUUUAAGUUGGGAGGAAGGGCAGUAAGUUAAUACCUUGCUGUUUUGACGUUACCAACAGAAUAAGCACCGGCUAACUUCGUG
This 484-nucleotide ribosomal RNA is filed under the name uncultured bacterium. RNAcentral's name for it is "partial 16S ribosomal RNA". It matches the Rfam family "Bacterial small subunit ribosomal RNA", at positions 30 to 507 of the family's 1533-position model. The record is from RNAcentral.